AACUUUGCUCUAAGCAUACAGUGUUCAAUUAGUUUCUGGCGCAGAUUUGCCUCUGUAAGGAGUCUCGGAUGUCCUCGCCAGCACUCUGCAUGGAACAAAUGGGAAAAAUCACACUUGCAUGAUCAAAUUUAAAAAAAGGAUGAAAUUGAAGAUGAACCCUUGUUUCACCCUGAGUAUGGUCACUGUCCCACCUCCCUGUGUAGCCUUUGGAUGGAGACAACAAGGACUUCUCUUCUGGGCCCCAUGCUUUAGAAGCUCUCAGUUCUGACACAUCAUGAUCCCUCACCCUGAACCUCCACUCCUGUGAGCAUUCAAGUCCCAGGAAAAUGCUUCUCCACGUCUCUUACCCUGGGUCCUCAAAAAAGACAGGCAGCUUCUGGCACAGCAUCAGCUGCGGUCCUGAGAAAGUCACUGCUUUAAAGGGGUACCUGGCUCUUAGAGGCUUGAAGAGAAAAGCAUCUUCCUUCUGUGAUUUCUCAGGGAAGUGCCAGCAAGAAAGAGAGAUCCAUCCCUGCGACUGUCUUCCUUUCUGUGAAGAGUUCUGGCCAGUUACCUCCUGUUCACUUUUGUGUGGUGCAUAAUCUUCAAAGUCGUUCAAAAAUAAAUAAAAUGAAAAAAAAAACCCAAAAACAAAACAAAACAAAAAGAGCCCUUUAGUUACCUAAACAA
Long non-coding RNA from Camelus dromedarius (Arabian camel), 669 nucleotides. RefSeq lists it as uncharacterized. Lineage: Eukaryota; Metazoa; Chordata; Mammalia; Artiodactyla; Camelidae. The transcript has 4 exons. The record is from RefSeq and is a predicted model, not a curated record.